GCCUCGUUGGCGCAGUAGGCAGCGCGUCACGACCUUCAUAAUCUGAAGGUCGUGAGUUCGAGCCUCACACGGGGCA
Non-coding RNA from Gadus macrocephalus (Pacific cod), 76 nucleotides. The record is from the annotation of a RefSeq genome assembly. NCBI's taxonomy places the organism in Eukaryota, Metazoa, Chordata, Actinopteri, Gadiformes, Gadidae.